This is a long non-coding RNA of Spinacia oleracea (spinach), 604 nucleotides long. RefSeq lists it as uncharacterized. The record is from RefSeq and is a predicted model, not a curated record. The transcript is spliced from 3 exons. NCBI's taxonomy places the organism in Eukaryota, Viridiplantae, Streptophyta, Magnoliopsida, Caryophyllales, Amaranthaceae.
ACAGCUGAGGGCAUAAUAGUAACAUUACUUUUCGUGUCCCCCUGCAAAAAGACGAAAAAACCCUUCACACUAAUCAACCCUAACCCUUACUGCUCAACUGUUUUCUCUCUCCUCCUCCCGUUUUCUUUCUCGACCCUCUUCGAUCUAUUCCUCUACAAAUACCUUCAUCCUCUCCACGAUCUUCUUCAUCCUCUCCUUCGAUCUUCUUCCUCUCCUUCAAUUCGAGCCAACGACGAAAGCCACCCCUGGGAUUUGGAUUCCUUCGGAUUUUCAUCAAUUUUGUGGUUUCUUCGGAUUUGAUUCUGUUUUUGCGACCCCGAUUUUACAAGUUUUAGACCGGCGGAUGGAGGGCGGGGAUGGCGAUUUUCCGACAACAACAACAACAAUAACAGCAGCAAUAAUCGCGGAACAAAGCCGAGACAAGGGUGAAAUAUCAGGUUAAGGAUUUGCAAGUUUCUGGGUUGGUUUUUGCUAUAUUGCAAGAAUCGGCUACUAAGUUUUAGGUGGGCAGCUAGAGUUGGAUUCUGAUGGCUAUGUGGUGACUACACCGGGUACGAGGAAGACCAAUGUUAAAGGAACAUCGCUGCUGGUGAUGUUCAGGAUA